CGGAUGAAAAAUAUAUUUCUCGAGCAACACUGCUUUGGCUUUCUUCGUGUGAUUUGCGUAACCUGGCAAUCAAUAUUAAUAAAUAAACAAAACUUCGAGCUAAUGAAAAACCUAUAGAUCAGUUGAAAUGUACUUGUACGGCUGUUUUGCUCUUAGUCAUAUGAUGAAUGCCACGGACAGCGAUAGUAUGCGACUAAUCGCUGCUGGGAAGACAACGCACUUUCCCAAUUUAAUAUCUGACUGUGUUUAGCAUACAGGAAACCAAAUGACAACUGGUGACGGCUCUGUUCGAAUAUUUUAGGUUUCCGGUAAUGAGCAAUUUGAUGGUUUUUUGCACAGUAACCUGAUCUAGAGAAGACUUCCUGAGGUAAUCGAACCUUCCAGACUAAAACGCUGCACAGAAACUUCGGCUUCUUUUUGUGAUUCUACCAUGGAUUGGGGUCUUUUUCUACAGCGAGAGUGCCAUUUCGCUGGUUGGAUUUACCGAGUGCUAGACCAGAACCGAUAUACAGAAUUUGAUUCCGGUAUUACUGGUUUCUCGAGCGAAACAGACCUGUGAUAGUAAAAUCGUAAACAAAUUUUGUAGUUCUUUCACGAGAUACCUUUGGCAGAUUCGUGAUCUAUCUGGUACUGGUGAAAAACGAUCUGACAAAGUGGAGUGGGAUGAGAUCAUUCUACAUUGAUAGGUUCCUGAUAAUAGAAUAUCUACCACCAGGCAAUUGUACACUAUACUACAAGGAUAAUAUAUUAGGUAUGAAAUGUGUAGUUACUUUGAAUAACAAGUUGCUCAUAUUUGGUACAGUUCAUAAAAGUUUCUUGUAAAUUUGA
Long non-coding RNA from Topomyia yanbarensis, 828 nucleotides. RefSeq lists it as uncharacterized. The record is from RefSeq and is a predicted model, not a curated record. The transcript has 2 exons. NCBI's taxonomy places the organism in Eukaryota, Metazoa, Arthropoda, Insecta, Diptera, Culicidae.